This 229-nucleotide ribosomal RNA is filed under the name uncultured bacterium. RNAcentral's name for it is "partial 16S ribosomal RNA". It matches the Rfam family "Bacterial small subunit ribosomal RNA", at positions 118 to 347 of the family's 1533-position model. The record is from RNAcentral.
UGGGCAACCUGCCCUCAGCUCUGGGAUAACUCCAAGAAAUUGGGGCUAAUACCGGAUAUGACCGCUGACCGCAUGGUCUGGUGGUGGAAAGAUUUAUCGGCUGGGGAUGGGCCCGCGGCCUAUCAGCUUGUUGGUGGGGUAGUGGCCUACCAAGGCGACGACGGGUAGCCGGCCUGAGAGGGUGACCGGCCACACUGGGCCUGAGACACGGCCCAGACUCCUACGGGAG